GAGGUAUUACCAGCCAACCGGGUUUGGAUUAGCAAGUCUUCAGUACAGUACAAGUUAUUUAUUACAACACGAAAAUAAACCCUACCAGGCAGUAUUACGCAUACCUGUUGUCUUAUUAGCAAACUUUCUUAUCACGCUCAUCUGCAAACUAAAGGGCAAGGCAAUAAUAAUGCCACCGAGGUCAACUGUGUUAAGCUUUGUGGGCGAGAUCAUUGAGAUUUCUCUUGUCAGUGUCCCUGUCUUUAUCUUUCCUGCCCUCGCACAAUCCCUGACUCACAGCACAGGCAGCUAGGCCGGGGACAUGCGUCCAGACUCAGUAAGCACAUCAUAGCAGCAGAAUGACGUCCAGACAUUAGCAAACACACCCACCCACCAACCUAUCUAGCUACCUACCCCUUCCGACGCCUCCACUCUCAAAAACAAAGUCAUCAGCCUCUUAUUGAUGAGCUGUUAUAGAUGAACCUUACAGCGUCUAUGACUCGUGGCACAGUCUCAGGUUCCAGCGUGUGUUUGCACUUCACAGUGAAUCAGACUGCUCUUUCUGUCUGUCUGGCUCGGAUGACACGCACCACUUCGAUUUGCUGAUCAUUUACAUAACAGGAGCUUCCAGAUUUUGAAGGAAGAGACGAGGAGAGAGAGAGAGCGAUAGAGAGAUAGCGAGCGAGAGAGAUAGCUUCCCUGUAUCUGAGGAGCACAAAGAGGCACUUUUAGGAACGCAGAGCUCGCGGCUGUCUGGAGCUGCCAGGGGCUGGGGAUGAAUGAAGACUUCGCUCUGCUGUUGGAUACUGGGCCACGUGGAAACCAGUGCUAGCUGCUGAUUGGCAGAAUGGAUCUCCAGUCGGCUGUGAUUGGCUCAAAACCACUUGGCAGUGUAUGCUAUUGCUACCUGCGUGUGCUGUACAGUAAACUCAUCCUGCGUUGAGAAGCAAUCAGUGCAUUUCUUCACGUACGGGGUCAGCAGGAUAGGUGUACCGUAGUAUAGCAAAUAUACAUUAUAUACACCACGUAUCUGGCUUCUCCAAUAGAUUGUACAAAAGGUAUACUUUCCUCAGUCUCGAAUCACACUGCACUGUACGAUUUUAUAUGUGUGUGUGUGUGUGUGGGUAACUCCGCUAUCCUGAAAUCUGGCUCCGGGGAUUUAAAAAAAGCAAGGCUUGAAGACGAGCUACAUAUCAGCGUGAUUGUAGGAGAAAUGCCAUUCUCGAAUCCCAAGCGUGACAACGUGACCUAUAAACUACGUCAGUGCCAUCUACUCAACGGGCCCGGAAUCUUCAUUUCAGCACCAAGGACAGCGGCCAGAUGAGAUGCAUGACUCUGAGCUGUGCUGACUGACGACCAAUGCACAUUUAAUAAUAAUAAUAAUAAUAAUAAUAAUAAUAAUAAUAAUAAUAAUAAUAAUAAUAAUAAUAAUAAUAAUAAACGUUCUGAGUAACCUGCCAGUUUUAUACUAUUACAUUAUUCGGUUUCCUCUCUGAAAACAAAACAAAAAUAUUGGGUUUGUGCUGCACAUGCUCCCCACAAUAGGGUCUGUGACGUGUCAUCGUCCCGGGAACAGCUAGAUCGCGUUCCAAUGCGACCCCUCGGGUUCCGUGUCUUGACAUUUCUGAGAAACUCGAGUACAGCGAUGAUUCAGCUUCCUGGGAUCCUGUAGACUAUUGACUGAUUCAGGUGGGUGUCAUCAGUGAAGAGGCGGACAAUAUAACAGGAAAUCAGCUGGUUAGGAACACUAUCAAGAGGGCAGAGCUCCGCAGCUUCCCUAGACCCCAUACCACCAGAGCCACACGUUUCAAUAGCGUUGUUUUAUUAGACCAGUUUGUUUACUAAUAAGAAAUAAAGUAUAACGUGCGUUCUGCAGUAGGACCAUAUUGUAUUAGGAUCUGUGCCUGUGCACCGCAUUCAUCUAUAGUCAUUCCAAAGCCCCGCCGUAUUCAUCUAUAGCGCAUUCCAAAGCCCUUCCGCUACCGAAUGCCCCCCCCCCUCUCUCUCUCAUGGUUCCAUUUAGAAUGGAUUUGGUCUUGCAUGGAACCCAUCCUAUGGAACACUCUGUUGAACAGUGUGUAUAAGAAUGGGUCUUUAUGGAACUGGAAGGUAUAAAGCAUGCUACGUGCUGCUGUUGUUUGAUGCGGGUUAGGUGCUGUAUCGCGGUGCUGUAUCGCAGUGCAGCAGCAGGCGAGGGGAGGCGAGGAUGCAGGUAAGAAGUCAGAGCAUCAGCACCUUGGCUCUAGACUGCUUACUGCUAAUUGUUUUUGGAAAGUACAGUAACAGUCUACAGUCAUGGCUACUGAAGCCUGGCGAUCUUCGACACGCACACAAACCUGUUGAGAAUGAUCCUGGUCGAUCAGCACCGGCCAGCCUAGCCUCUCUCUCUCUCUCGCUCUCUCUCUCUCUCUCUCUC
Long non-coding RNA from Polyodon spathula (Mississippi paddlefish), 2395 nucleotides. RefSeq lists it as uncharacterized. The record is from RefSeq and is a predicted model, not a curated record. The transcript is spliced from 3 exons. Lineage: Eukaryota; Metazoa; Chordata; Actinopteri; Acipenseriformes; Polyodontidae.